RNAcentral lists this ribosomal RNA (278 nucleotides) under uncultured Oscillospiraceae bacterium. RNAcentral's name for it is "partial 16S ribosomal RNA". It matches the Rfam family "Bacterial small subunit ribosomal RNA", at positions 511 to 788 of the family's 1533-position model. Lineage: Bacteria; Bacillati; Bacillota; Clostridia; Eubacteriales; Oscillospiraceae. The record is from RNAcentral.
GCAGCCGCGGUAAUACGGGGGAUGCAAGCGUUAUCCGGAUUUAUUGGGUUUAAAGGGUGCGUAGGCGGUCCGGUAAGUCAGCGGUGAAAUUUCCGAGCUCAACUUGGAACGUGCCGUUGAUACUGUCGGACUAGAAUGCGGAUGCCGUGGGAGGAAUGUGUGGUGUAGCGGUGAAAUGCAUAGAUAUCACACAGAACACCGAUUGCGAAGGCAUCUCACGAAUCCGCGAUUGACGCUGAGGCACGAAAGCGUGGGGAUCAAACAGGAUUAGAUACCCC